RNAcentral lists this long non-coding RNA (639 nucleotides) under Rattus norvegicus (Norway rat). Its description in RNAcentral is "long non-coding RNA NONRATT030084". The record is from RNAcentral. Lineage: Eukaryota; Metazoa; Chordata; Mammalia; Rodentia; Muridae.
UUUGGGUGGAAGAAGACAUAGGAGGGGAUAUGUUGUCACUUAAAACUUGUCUAGUGUAUGGAUUGGACCAAAUACUAGAAGGUAUUUCCUGUGUCUAUCCACGUGCCACCUAUCUGUGCAUGUGUUAUAGGAGAUGGGCAGUUUCUCAGCUAGAGUGUAUCAUCAGAAUGUUUGGUGUACUGAUAGGGCUUUUUUCUCUAUUUCUCCCAGUUUUUCCCAGUUCACUGGAUUUAGAACUGCUUGACUGACACUUAAAUACUACAUGUAAAGGGGCACUUUACAUCAGGGAAACUAUUAUACAGAAUGGGUAAACAGUGCAGGAAAGGGAGUGGUUGUAAAUGGGAAAGUCAUGGCCGUUCUAGUUGCAGUACUGCCAUGACCCCAGCCACAUCUAAGAUGUCUUCACAGGUAAGCUUUGUGUCCACAGCACAAGGAAUAUUUAAUGUUAUGAUCUGGGCUACCUUCAGUACUGUCUUGCAAAGCUUCAUCAACUUGGCUUUAUGAUUCUUGCUUUAUUGUGAAUGUCCAGUACACAUUGUAAUGUACUGUUCAGUUAUGUCUUCGGGUCACAAUCAUCUUCAUAUAUAGUGUGUGCAUUCAUAGACAUUUGAAUACAUGAAUAGUCUGAGUAUGAAAUAU